UUAAGUCUAUAGAUUUACAGGUGGCUCGUGAGGGUACGGGGGUCGGUACCAGGAACUUCGCAAGGCUAUCCUUGCUGAGGUACCUGAGGCCGAUGUCAGUGGGCAGGUCGGACGCUCCUCAACCUAUGAGGUUUCAAUAAACGGCCAACUUGUCUUCUCCAAGUUGAAGACACAAGGGUUCCCAGAUGAAAAACAUGUGAUCGCCCAGGUCCAGGCUGCUCAUAAAGGAGAGAGCAUGACGGAGAUCACAGAUUCUCAGUCUCCAGGCUGUACCAUUCUGUAGAGGAGGGGUGACAGACCCGCUAUAUUAACCUUAUCCAACAUUGGCAGGCCUUGAACAUCAUCCAUGUCACUUCUACAAGUUGUUCUGACUCCCCUCUGUAUCUACAAUAGACUCUCCUUCAUGUCCAUAUGCAUUCCUGGCCUACCAAGGAGGACACCUUGUUAUGUCAAAGGUCAAAAUUUAACACAACAAGAAAUUUCUACAUUUGAUUAAAGAGGGAAAACAAAGUAAAAUAAAAACAUCUUAGAUGCAAAAAUACACAAAUAGCAACCAGACCUGACCAUGAAUAAUGACAAUCACAAGUUAAACUGUAUGUUAAAAAGGAUUGGGACAAAUUUAAUGUUAAAUGCUGUGAUAAUUCUUACCAUAAAUUUAUAUUGUAAGUUUGUAAUAUUAUACAGAAUUCAGCUCAACAGAAAUGAUAUCCUGGUGUAUUUCUUUAUUAAAAAGUUUGUAGAGACAUGUUUUUCAUUUUAAAUUGACAAAAAGGAUUCCGGAACUGCUUUUAUGCAAAUAUUUCUCCUGAAAUAUGGAAAGGAUAUUGUGUUAAUUUAUUCACCCCUGAAAUUUCACAAUGAACUAUUCCAACCUUUGAAUUGGAAGAGUUCAUAAGUGUAUUUAGGGGUGAAUGAGUUAAUUAGUAGGAUACGUAAUAAACAAAAAUAAUUAUAUCUUUUCAUUUAGAAGUUACUACUUAAGGAAAUAUAUGUAAAUACCCUCAUAUGUUUGAUAAUUAAUGUUAAGUGUAUAAAAACAAUUAGUGUGUGUAAAUGCAUUCAGGCCAAAAUAAAUUCUGUGUGUUUAGGGUUACAAGGUGAAAUUGGUUAUCGGGUUGGAUCAAAUAUAAAUAUUUUCAGAAUUUUUCUGACAUUGUUUUGUAAAUUAAAAUAACUGCAUUUACUCGAUGAUUAAACUAUUUUAAAGUAAAUCAUGCUUGGUUUCAACUUGAAUGCAUGCAUACAUGCAUAUCAAUGUGAUGAAACAUUUUUUAAAAGCAUAUGAAAAUGUCAUGCCCACCAACAAAUUUGAGAUUUUUUUAAAAGUUGAAAUUAAGAGCAAAUGAUUUUCAGUGGGUAAGGAACUCUAAACACAAGUAUUUGCCUCAUAAAUAGAACAGAUAUCACGUAGAAGUGUCCAGGAGCAGGGUUUGCCAUGUUUUUCAACUGUUGUGAAUAAUUUCUUUAAUUUUCUCAGUGUUUGAGAGCUGGUGAAUCGCUCAUGAAAUUAAAAUGCCGAAGUCCUAUGGAAAGGCAUCUUAAUGGAUAGUUUAGAUAAAAAACAGUUCUCAACACCAGAUAAAGAUUGAAGAAAUAAAUUACCUCAGUUUUGUAUAUAAAUUGUGAUAUGUUUUAUGUUUUUUAUUUAUUGUAUUUUUUUGUUUUCAUAUAUUUCAGAAUGAUCAUAUAUAUAAUCUAAGCAAUAUUCAUUAAGUUUUGAAAAGAAGUAUAAAACACCAGAAAAACAUGAUAUUACUGUACUUAUCCUGUAAUACGCUCAUGUCUGGUCACAAGCCCACCCAUAUCUCUUGCAAUUCAGUAGACAGACCAACAUAGUUUUUCAUUGUCCUGUGGUCAACCUACCCACCUGUUUUGAGUCAGAGAUUACAUGUUGCCCAUCUGGACUUAUUGCAGGAUAAAUAUUGUAUUGCACAUUAGUGGAGACAAAAUGUUAAGGUGUCAACCAGAAAUAUAUUAUCUAAUACCCCUAGUGCAAAAUAAAAAAAUAAAUAAAAUGAUAUAAUUUUUGAGUUCUCAAAUUUGACUUUCUAAUUUCAAUUGUUAAAUUUUAAACCCUUUCUUUAAAGUUGAGAUCCUCUAUUUUGUUUGGGAUCAUAAAGACAAACCCACUGACAGCUAAUGAAAUGUAAUUUAUCCAUUGACUGAGUUCCUGGUCUAGGCAGGCCAAAAUAUAAAAAAAGUUUCAUGUUAUUAGAAUAGAGAUAUUCUGGUCACAAGUGAUUUUUCUUGAUCUCAAAGUGUGUUCCUUAAUAAAAUAUUUUUUAUUACAAACAUUUUGUAUGUUACACAAGAAAAGAUGUAUUUUAUUUCAUUUAUCAUUAACUCAUUCACCCCUGAAGACACAUUUGAACUCUUCCAAUUCAAAGGUUGGAAUAGUCUAUUAUGAUAUUUUAGGGGUGAAUGAGUUAAUGAAUUGGUGUUCGUUUUGAAUAUCACACAUAUGGAUACCAUAAUCUUUGUUUGUUGCCACUUGCUACCAUGUAAAAAUGGUUGGGUUUUGGUUUGAUCAUAAUUCCAUAAACUUUUAUUGUCAAUAUUGAUAAAAUACUCGCUGUACAAAGCCCAUUGGUACAAUACCUGAUAAUGUUACAGCCAUCAAGGAAUAGCUGAAUUUUAAUUGGCGAGGUGGUUUGAGAUUAUCAUUUUUAGAUAAAAAAAUGCAUGGUGAAAAAAGGUAUUAAAAUCCUACUGUGAGGCUAUUUAUUAUUCAUGUUAAUUAUAAUUGAAGAGGAGAUAACUCGGACAAGAGCCUGAAUCAAAUGAUCAAAAAUGAAUGUAUGAUAUUGUCACAAAUGAUCGGUAGAAAUUAGGUUAUUCCAUCACUGAUGCUGAGUUUUAGGAAGCUAAUUAGCUUUGAUCACAGAUGGACAUAAUUCUAAGUACCUUUUGUUUGUUCUUCUGCUUGAAAUCCUGGUUAAAGGAGGAAAUGAGGACUGCUUAUAUCAUAUCUAGUCAUCAAUAACAUUUUGAAUAAAAACAUCGCACCAGAAA
Molecule: long non-coding RNA, 3012 nt
Organism: Mizuhopecten yessoensis (Yesso scallop)
Lineage: Eukaryota; Metazoa; Mollusca; Bivalvia; Pectinida; Pectinidae
Exons: 4
Source: RefSeq, a predicted model, not a curated record